This is a long non-coding RNA of Hippocampus zosterae (dwarf seahorse), 435 nucleotides long. RefSeq lists it as uncharacterized. The transcript has 2 exons. The record is from RefSeq and is a predicted model, not a curated record. Lineage: Eukaryota; Metazoa; Chordata; Actinopteri; Syngnathiformes; Syngnathidae.
GGGCCAGAUCCGGCCCGCAACAUCAUUUUAUAUGGCCCCGCAAAAGCAAAUCAAGUGCGUGAACGCCCAUGAUCAUUGCUAAAAUCUGUACCAAAAUGUCAAAUUGUCAUGUGGAAUAAAUAACGUUGAGAUUUUGUAAUAAUUUUAAGUAUAAUAUUGUCCAUGCUUGCAAUUUUGUUGGAAUCAUUUGGUGACGCCCUUGGGUUUUGUUGGGUAUCCUGUCAAAAUAAUACAAUCACAGGUCAUUGGGUAUUCAUCAUUAUUCUUACGAACAUAUCCAAUGACCUCAUGCCAAACUAUUAUAAGUAUACGCUGCUUUACUUCUUUUUUUUUGUGUAUGUAUAUAUUUUUUUCCCCUAAAUUUCUAUGCUAGUACAACUGCUAAUACUUUAUCUGGAUGAAAUUGUGAAGUGGCCAUUUUAAUUCUUGACACAA